RNAcentral lists this ribosomal RNA (440 nucleotides) under uncultured bacterium. RNAcentral's name for it is "partial 16S ribosomal RNA". It matches the Rfam family "Bacterial small subunit ribosomal RNA", at positions 338 to 795 of the family's 1533-position model. The record is from RNAcentral.
CCUACGGGAGGCAGCAGUGGGGGAUAUUGCACAAUGGGGGGAACCCUGAUGCAGCGACGCCGCGUGGGUGAAGAAGCGCCUCGGCGCGUAAAGCCCUGUCAGCAGGGAAGAAAAUGACGGUACCUGAAGAAGAAGCCUCCGCUAACUACGUGCCAGCCGCCGCGGUAAUACGUAGGGGGCCAGCGUUAUCCGGAUUUACUGGGGGUAAAGGGGGCGCAGGCGGAGAUGCAAGCCAGGAGGGAAAGCCCGGGGCCCAACCCCGGGACCGCUCUUUAAACUGGGUGGCUGGAGUGUAGGAGGGGCAGGCGGAAUUCCUGGGGUAGCGGUGAAAUGCGGAGAUAUCAGGAGGAACACCGGUGGCGAAGGCGGCCUGCUGGACUGCAACUGACGUUGAGGCCCGAAAGCGUGGGGAGCAAACAGGAUUAGAUACCCUUGUAGUC